CGCGCGCAGAGCUUCCCGCUGGGGCCGCCUCUUCAGGCUUGUCCCUUCUCCACCGCAGGCUGGCGUGGGUUGGUUUUGCACGGGGAGCUCACAUCCAGCCUUUCCGGCCCCUGGGGCCUCUGGCGCGUGCCCAGGUCCUCGAGCAGCAGCGGAGUCCCAAUGUUACGGAGAAGCCCCCAUAUAAAACUUGGGUUCCUGGCUGUGGGUUCUCACUUGCGCGCUUACAAGGGACUUAUGAAUACUCCACUACAGGCGCACACAAAAGGGUAAUAAAAGGUUUAUUUACAAGGGAAAAAGGAAUUAAGGAAAAUGUACAACUCAGGGAGAAAAUAGGGAAAUAAAGUCUUUCAUGCGUCCUACCGGAUCCGCCGACCUGGAAACCCAAAGGCACUCUCAGAGCUGGCCGGACGCUGCGAGCUGGUGGGGAGCCAAAAUGGGGGACCCCUCCAAAGCCCACGUGUCUGGCUUUAUACCAACCUGGCUGCUGAACCCCACCCUCAGGUCCCAGCCACCUUCCCUUAGUGGGAUGGGAUUUGGAGUUCCCAGUGGCUUUGGUUUUGGCCUGGGGUGGGGGUGGAAUCCACAAAGCCCAUAUGGAAUUAGCUUUAGGACAGCCUUUCCCCCCUAACACCAACAGGGUGGCCCCUCCCAUCACUGCACAUUCACCCCUGAAAGAAGAGUGGUUAUCUGCAGGGGCUUGCGAGGUUGCAGACCAGCUUUGGCCCUCAUUAGUUUGUGGGACUUCGGCCUGUGGUGGUCCGGCCUGGCUGACACUCCAAUCGAUCUGAAUAGUCUAGGGUGCAGGAAGUCCUAAGCCAAAACCAAAAGUUUGACUUCAGAUCUACAGCACCUUCCCCAACUAACAUAUCGGUAAUAAACUUGACUGGUAACUAUCCAUUGUUUCAUUCCUGUGUCUGAUUUUUUCAGUUCCACUCAGAAAGGGGAGAAGAAAUGCUAUUGUUUCGUCAUCUUUAAUGAGAACUGCUUCGUAAGGUCACAAGACUGUCAACCCGCACCCUAAACCAUGGCUCAAUACCCUGGUGGCUUUGUGUGGUGUCCUGAGGUUUCCUCCCUCAGCAUCUCUGUUGAAAACCUUUCCUGCCUGCAUGCUGGAAUUCCACUCUGCCUGUUUGGGCCUGAAGCUGUGUUCUCUUUAUAACUCAUUUCUACUCCUUGGAAAAGGAUUCAAUAAAAGCUUAAUUGGUUUUCCACUGGUCCUGGGCAAGAUGAGUGUUAGCAUAUUAUUAUUUUAUAGAAACAUGAAUAAUAAAAUAAGUCAUAAGUCAUGAAACAGCACUGGGCACAU
Molecule: long non-coding RNA, 1306 nt
Organism: Talpa occidentalis (Iberian mole)
Lineage: Eukaryota; Metazoa; Chordata; Mammalia; Eulipotyphla; Talpidae
Exons: 3
Source: RefSeq, a predicted model, not a curated record